This 240-nucleotide unclassified non-coding RNA is filed under the name soil metagenome. RNAcentral describes it as "partial contains 5.8S ribosomal RNA, internal transcribed spacer 2, and large subunit ribosomal RNA". The record is from RNAcentral.
AACCUAGCACACCUGCGGUGUGUACCUGCGGAAGGAUCAUUACCAAUUAUAUAUGUUAGUUUGCCUGUGGCUUCGGUCACUGGUAUUAACUACUAUGUAAACGUUGAACUAGAUCAAUUGGUGUGGAUUGCUUGGGAAUGGACGAAGCGACAAGCCUCUUCCGGACAGGCAAGCCCCACACUGAUAACCUUUUUCAUAUCAUUUACUCGUAUAUACUACCACAACAAAAAAAACAAAAGC